This 324-nucleotide ribosomal RNA is filed under the name uncultured eukaryote. Its description in RNAcentral is "partial 18S ribosomal RNA". It matches the Rfam family "Eukaryotic small subunit ribosomal RNA", at positions 1470 to 1796 of the family's 1831-position model. The record is from RNAcentral.
CCCUUAGAUGCUCUGGGCCGCACGCGCGCUACACUGGUCGAUGCAACGAGUUUCUUUCCUUGGCCGACAGGCCUGGGCAAUCUUUGAACAUCGAUCGUGAUCGGGAUAGAUUCUUGUAAUUUUUGAUCUUAAACGAGGAAUUCCUAGUAAACGCAAGUCAUCAGCUUGCAUUGAUUACGUCCCUGCCCUUUGUACACACCGCCCGUCGCACCUACCGAGUGAAUGGUCCGGUGAAAUCUCCGGACUGGCGUGAGUCGGAGCAAUCUGACAAACACCGGAAAGUUGAUUAAACCUUACCAUUUAGAGGAAGGUGAAGUCGUAACA